UGGAUUACACCAAAAACAACUUUGAUUAACUCAAUUUCCAUUGUUUUGACUUAAUUUCGGCCAUAAUGACUAAUUCUGAAAUUUAUUCGUGUGUGACGCUCGAUAACGAGAACGGCAACAAUGUGGAUAUGGUAUGACAGGCAUGACGAUCCGUAAUAUUUUUGUUACGUUGCAGAAAGAAGAGCUCAUCACAAUGCUUUAGAAAGGAAGAGGCGAGAAACUAUUAAAGAAACUUUUACUACUCUAAAGGAUGCCCUGCCUUCCUUAAGGGGAGAGAAAAUGGCUAGUAGGGCUUUGAUCUUAAGAACUGCUGUGGAACACAUACAGACCAUGCACAGAAGGAAUACAAUACAUCAACAAGAUAUUGAGGACCUUAGGCGUGAAAACUGCCUUUUGGCUAAUCAAAUCCAAUCUCUUGAGAAGACCCACAAUGUGCCAUACUUGGGUGAUCCGGUUCCAUUGGAUAGUACAAGUUCGGAAUCCGAUUCUGAUCCAGACUGCGAAGGCGAUAAUAAUAAAACCAAGAAACUAACAGUUGCGGGUAAAACACUGAUUGUACAUAUCCUGUGAUGUUACUGAACUUAUAAGACGAACGAGUACUCGUUGUAAAAUUAACGUUGAAAUUGCGGCUGU
RNAcentral lists this unclassified non-coding RNA (633 nucleotides) under Cimex lectularius (bed bug). RNAcentral describes it as "protein max-like, transcript variant X1". Lineage: Eukaryota; Metazoa; Arthropoda; Insecta; Hemiptera; Cimicidae. The record is from RNAcentral.